This 530-nucleotide ribosomal RNA is filed under the name Aspergillus versicolor. RNAcentral describes it as "eukaryotic LSU rRNA". The stretch from base 181 to 334 matches the Rfam family "5.8S ribosomal RNA". The record is from RNAcentral. Lineage: Eukaryota; Fungi; Ascomycota; Eurotiomycetes; Eurotiales; Aspergillaceae.
GGGUGACCUGCGGAAGGAUCAUUACCGAGUGCGGGCUGCCUCCGGGCGCCCAACCUCCCACCCGUGACUACCUAACACUGUUGCUUCGGCGGGGAGCCCUCUCGGGGGCGAGCCGCCGGGGACUACUGAACUUCAUGCCUGAGAGUGAUGCAGUCUGAGUCUGAAUAUAAAAUCAGUCAAAACUUUCAACAAUGGAUCUCUUGGUUCCGGCAUCGAUGAAGAACGCAGCGAACUGCGAUAAGUAAUGUGAAUUGCAGAAUUCAGUGAAUCAUCGAGUCUUUGAACGCACAUUGCGCCCCCUGGCAUUCCGGGGGGCAUGCCUGUCCGAGCGUCAUUGCUGCCCAUCAAGCCCGGCUUGUGUGUUGGGUCGUCGUCCCCCCCGGGGGACGGGCCCGAAAGGCAGCGGCGGCACCGUGUCCGGUCCUCGAGCGUAUGGGGCUUUGUCACCCGCUCGAUUAGGGCCGGCCGGGCGCCAGCCGACGUCUCCAACCAUUUUCUUCAGGUGACCUCGGAUCAGGUAGAUGCCCCAC